UUCAGUUUCUUUGUGUGUGUGUGUGUGUGUGUGUGUGUGUGUGUGUGUGUGUGUGUAGGGCACAUCUUGUGACAUGGGCUGUCUAUUCAAAUUCUGAGUGCUUCUCCAAGGGCUCUUUUGAAAUCUUACUCAUGAAAGGUGUGUCACAUGGCAGCUUCCAUACUGGAGGGCUUUCUGUCAGACCUCGAUGACAUCAAAUCACAGAGCAGGCCGUGGCACAAGACUUGUCAGGGUACAGUAGCCCUUUCUCUACUAAUAAGCUGAUUGCUUUCCAAACCCAAAGGAGUGGACUGAGCUGUUUGGACAAACAAUAGAAAACGAGCUGUGUCGACUUUUACCAUUGCCAUAUUUUGCACAGAAGACAGGUAUAUCUGUGCUGUCCCAUCAGUUUGGUUAGACAGGAAACACUUGCGACACGGGUGGUGUGAAAACCAACAAGGAGUCAGAGGACUUGACAGAAUGUCCUAGCUGGAGGUGGCCAGGAAACACGGGAUGGCUAUCAGAAUUGCUUCCUGGGAUGUCUUAGGUAGAAUAAUGGUUCCUCUUUUGCUACUGCAGUUACUGUUCCAAGGGUCUGAGGACUUUGGUUAUAGAUGGGACAGUUUCAUUGUUUCACAGGAGGAGAGAGUCCUUUUCCCCUCGACUCAGGGCUUGAUGAAGACCGCUAGAGUGGGGCUUUAAGAGCCCUCUAAAUCAGGUCAAAUAUGUCUGUCUUAAACCUUGAGUAGCUGUUUCUGGGAGGAAAGCCCAGCCUGGCUAGCUUCUGAGCUUUCAGAAACACCUUUAACUUCAUGGUUUGUGUUUUUCCUUAGUCUUUCCCUUGACAUGCCUUUCUUUUCGCUUCACUCCUGCCUGGACCCCAGGAAGCAUGCAUGUCACAUGACUGACACUGGAUUACUGAGGUGUUUGUGGCAGCCCCGUCCCUUCAUUUAUGUUCUGUUAAGGGAUGACUCAAAUAACAAAGACCACAGAUGUAUAAAUACAAUGCGUAUAAGAAGAAUAGACAUCUGAUAUAUUUAGGAUUUAUUCCUUUGCAUUGGGGUCUGGCCUGCAUGUCUGUGAAGAUGCCAGAUCCUCUGUACCUGGAGUUACAGUUGUGAGCUGCCAAUGUGGGUGCUGGGAAUUAGACUUGGGUCCUUCUGAGAGAGCAACCAGUGCUCUUAACCUUUGAGCCACCUCUCCAGCCCAGCCCCAUGGACAUCCAGUAUAUUAUAAGACAGUGAAAAGUAGACAAGGAUUCCCUAAAAAUGUUUGGCUGAUUGUUGGGAGAGGCUUUGGUUUUAUUUUUAUUUUUUAUUUGAGUCUUCGGGGUUUACACUGUCAUGUGUGAUACUUUUUUUUUUUUUUUAAUUUGAAAGUUUUGUAUCUGCAUGUAAAGAAUUUAGGUUAUUUUCGUCUCCCAUUUGUUUCUCCUAUCUUCCUCCCUCUUAUCCCUCUCCCUUUCCAGUUGAAAUCCCUCCCCAUUCCUUUUUCUCAUCCCAUCACUUCUCCCUCAGAAACCCUUCUCUUUAAUAAGUUUCCUUCCUACUUUUUUUUUAAAUAUACAAUUUAUUUAACUUUAUUUUAUGUGCAUUGAUGUGAGGGUGUCAGAUCACCUGGAACUGGAGGUACAGACAGUUGUGAGCUGCCAUGUGGGUGCUGGGAGUUGAACCUGGGUCCUUUGGAAGAACCGACAGUGCUCUUAACCACUGAGCCAUCUCUCCAGCCCCUCCUUCCUACUUUUAUCUAUUUAUUUAUUGUUUUAUUUUUGACCUACUGAGUUUAGCUGUGUGAUUCCUUGUAUGAGCCUGGGGGUUAAUUUUCUGGAGCAUUGGCAGCACUCUGAAGAAAGUGACUUCCUCUUAAGUAGCAGCCAGCAACAGCAAAGCCCACAGGGAAUGGUGGGGACUCCUGACCCUUCCCUCUCUGUGAGUAGAAGGUGGUUUUCAUCUGAUGGUUUCCAGGGUGAGUGAGAGGUCAUUGUGGAUAGAGCCAUGAAAGAGCUAUCUAGGCCUACGGGAUAGCACCUGCAAAGAUCCUGUGGCAGAGUGAGCAUCUUUAGGGAGACAGCGCCUUGGGCACUCCCCACCCCCAACACACACAUAUCACAGACUUUCUCUUUUUACCAGAAUCAUCUUUAGUUGGUGUAUUAGUUCUUCUCAGCAGUGGGAUCAAAUAACUGACAAAACAUGCUAAGGUAAGAAUUACUUAUCUGCACCCACAGUUUUAGGGGGUUUGAUGCAUGGUCAUUUGAUUCCAACUUUCUGGACUCGCUGUAAGGCAGAAUGCCAAGGCAGGUGGGAACAUACGGUGGAGAAGAUUCUUCAUAGCAGGUAGGUAGCAAGGAAAAGGUGCAUAGAAGAGAGGGCCAGGGCAGGUUACAACCCACAGGGAUACACUGCCAGUGACAUUCUUUCCCCACUGAAGCCCCACCCCUCUAUUAUGUUAGGUGUCUGAAGACUUGGCUGUCUGUGGAGAGAUCCUGACAGAUACCCAGUAGGGGUGCUUUAGUCAUUUCAUGACUGAUUGCUAAUGCAGUCACACCACCAGCCAGCCAAGCUUCCUCACUGCAGUUGACUGCUGCAUUUAACUCCCCCCUCUCCCCCGCCACCCCGCAUACUAGGCCCACAGUGAUCCUUCCAGACAGCACCUCUCUGUUUUGCUGUAUCCUGAAUAUAUAGAAUGGCUCUUAUCUGAAUUCUGUAUCUACAGGGAUAGAAUGUAACCCAUUUCUGUUCUUCCACAGGGGAAUCUCCCAUCUGAUAGGAACUCACAGAUUAUUUGAUGUAUUUUUUUUUUUAUUUUAUUUUAUGCUGCAACUGCAACGCGAACCGAGAUGCCAACCUACUGUGUCUCCACCUUUGUUUCCACAAAGUGUCUUUGUUUUCAAAAUCCUGCUUUUCGGUCCUCAGGUCCAUCUUUGUUUCCACAGAGUCUUGUUUUCAAGAUCCUUAGGUCAGAAGGUGGCGUGGGCCGCCAGCCUCUCUCAGCCUCCCAUGUAUUGGGAGAAGUGGAAGGAUGUGUCACCCACGCACUGAAGUUUGCUUGUGUUUUUUUCCAGUCCUGGGCAGAGACCUGGGUGAGCCAGCAUGUUGGUCAGAGCCAGCUGGCCUGUAGGCCACAGUGUUGAACAGGCCCUGCCAUUGAUUGAUGUGGUUCAGCAAUCCACUGUGGAUGGGUCUCCAUGGUCGGGAUCUUGCUCAUUUGCUUGAGUUUGAAUAAGCCCAAUUUAAUGGCCCUUUAAGUUGGAUAAAUAUCAUGGUGGAGACAAAAAAAAAAAGUGUAUGUGGAGUAGGAUCUUAAGAUAUUCAUAAAUUGCAGGUCUCUUUUAGUUUCAUGUUUUUUAAGUGGUUUGGCUCCCCUGCCUGAGUGAAGUCUGACUUAGUGCCCUUCCCCCAUUUAAAAUAAACAAAAGUUGGGUUCUAACAGCUGAUUAAAAGAAUGUCCUCAAAGAUCCUCCUGUCUUCUCAUUCCCCAGGUACUUAGUAAGUGCUUCUGUUGCCAGGGACUCUACCAGCUGCUGAGGAGGCAUUUCUAUACCAGGAGGUCCAAUGGCUCCCAGCUUCUAGCCAUUUCUAUCUUAAACAGAGUCUGAACCAGAGCCUGUGUGAAGAGUAGGAAAACGAGGACACUGUGUAGCUUGUUUUCUGACCUUUGAACUUAGUAUCUUCCCAGCUUCUGAAUACAAACUCAGCCUUUAAAAAGUAUCUAUUUCUCAGCAAAGACAAAAGAACAACCCCUAGCCCAUGAAUUGCCCUCCCUCUGCAGAAGCAUUCCCUCUUCUCAGUCAUUCCUUGCAUCUUACAGUUGGCCUGUCCUUCCUCACUGUUCACUCUGGGUAGUGAUCCAUGUAGGUUUUGUUUUUGUUUUUGUUUUAUGAUUGAGCCUUUGGUUCUCAGGGGCAGGCUUGGUGUCUUCCACUUGGCUUUUAAGGCAGUGGGUACCAUGUAGGCAUUCAUGUUUCCUGAGUCUCAGAUCUAAAGCUCCUCCAUGAUGCCAGCUAGGCAUGAUUCCUAGGCUGUUGAAGACGUCAUAGCAAAAUCAGAGUUAGCACAUUUAUGAGGUUUUCAGCAGCAACAUUUGGAUUCUGUAUCAUUGAUUUAGAUAACUGUUUGUGAUUCUUAGGCAUCAGACCCUACAGUGCUUUAAUGUUGCACCCAGGAUACAGAGCGCUGCAUCGUGGUGUGGUUUGGUAGAGGUUUCAGGAACUAGAAGUCAGGAGAAUCAGCCAUGGAGUCUUUUCUACCUGCCCCUGAGGCUCGAGAUGGGAUUCCUGCCUUCAUGUGUUCCCUCGCUGGUAAAGUUAUAAACUUACAGAGAUGGUUGUAGAAGAGAUGUGGAGAGUUCCUUACCCUGUGUCUGCCCAUAGUUGGGACUUGCAGAAGAUGGACCUCAUCUUCAUUAGUACUGGAAGCUCAAAUUAAAGACUGACCCUACUUGACUACAGUAGAGGUAUGAUUUCUGUGGUCUACUUUCUACAGUCACUGUCUCUUUGCCUAGACAUUGGUUGGAAUAUCACGGAAGCAUCCUUCAGACUGGUUCUUGUUUGUUUUCAUUGAGAAUGAGAAACUAUUUUGGCAGGUAUGUUGUCAUUAGAAACAUCUUUUUUUUUUUUCUUGAUACACCUUUUAAGAUUUGUGGAUAUUCUUAGCACCACACAUAGGACAUUGUAUGACUUAAGACAAUUAAAUAUAUCUCAUAGUGUUUUCAACUCAGCUAGUUUGUAUGUAGAAGAGGAUAGAAUAUAAUUGUAUUUCUAGGCCAUGGCUUGCACAGAACUAUGCUAGGGAUAACACAUAUAAAGUGAUAGAGCUUCAGGUAAUAUCUGUAAAAUAUAGCCCAGGCUGAUGUGCUCCUCUCCUCUUGGAUAGCUGUUCCUCUUCUGCUGGUUCACUGGCCUUGGACUCUCUCUCUCACUGCUCUCUUUUAUAUCCAUUCUGGAACAUGUCUGAGCAUGGCGACCUGCAGGAAGAUGUUCAUUGUCACCAGGAGCCUGUCUAAUCCACAUGCCCCAUCAAGAUCUACAGGUGAUUUGCGGACAUUUAUCUGAAGAGCAGCAGGAUGCUGUCUGACUACGUGAACUUUUUUCCCCAUAGAACUCUCAAGCAAGAGGGUCUGAGGAGAUGGCUUGGUUUGCAAAGAGCUUGAUGUGCAAGCAUGGAGUUUGAUCCCCAAGAACCCUGCUUUAAACAGCCUGGAAUGGUAGAGAGUGCUUGUCUUCUCAGUGCUGGGAAGAUGGGACUCAGCUAGCAAGGCCAAGUAGGAGUCCCAGUCUCAAAAAACAAAGGCGCCUGAGGAAUUAUGCCAGAGAUUGGCCUAUGGAGUCUGCAUGCGUGUAUGAACUUAGGCAGGCAUCCACGGGAAGUAAAUUAAAAGAAAUAAGUGUAAACCAAGGUGAUGGUUAUAGAUUGGAAAUUUUAUAUUUUCUCGGAUACUUUUGCUUGCUUCUUUCUUCUAGAGUAAUGUCAUUGCUGUUACCUACGAUUUCCAAUCCCCUUAAUGUGUUAUCUUUGAGUUGAUAGAAGGCCAUGAAAUAUGGCUGAAGCCAGUGCGUGAGUUCACGUUUCCUAUAGCUUAUCACCAUUAACAUGCCCGAGACUGGAAGCGGCUCAGGAAGAUGCUCCAUGUCCCUUGGUGACUGCACACUGCCUUCAAAAGUUGGACCAGCCUGAUGAAGUAUUUCAAAAGAAGAUGAUGCAUGCAUGAUGAAAUGGGAAGCGAAGGCUGCAUCAGCGGGGCUUAGCAGCCUCCUUAGCGGGUCUGAUGGAAGUACUCCAUCAGCAGUUGUGAGGCAGUUGGGGCCCCGAAUCUUCAAAGAACCCCACAAAUCUGUUUUUGUUUAAGAGACAUGUGGUUGGUAGUAAUCUUGCCAUUCUGAGAGAAGGCUUUGGGCAGUGGCUUGGUGACAUCAUGCCAUUUGGGCAAGACAAGAGUUGAGCCAGCCUUUCUUCGGGCAGGACAUCUUGAGGGCAACGGCCUUUCUAUUUCUAGAGCAAAGCACAUACUCUGCAGGUGUCCCUGUCCCUAGGCAGCUGGUGAGCAACUUUUCAUAUUGUGGUUGUCCUGAAACAGGAUGGACUGUAAUUUAUUGUCAUGUGCUGGGGAGCUGGCCCUCAGAUAAUGAAUGCUUCUUUGGAAAAAUGUCAACGUGUAUAAAUUCAAGAUUAUUUAGGAAA
Long non-coding RNA from Meriones unguiculatus (Mongolian gerbil), 6155 nucleotides. RefSeq lists it as uncharacterized. The transcript has 2 exons. The record is from RefSeq and is a predicted model, not a curated record. NCBI's taxonomy places the organism in Eukaryota, Metazoa, Chordata, Mammalia, Rodentia, Muridae.